GACGAACGCUGGCGGCGUGCUUAACACAUGCAAGUCGAACGGAAAGGCCCUGAGUUUGUGGGGUGCUCGAGUGGCGAACGGGUGAGUAACACGUGAGUAACCUGCCCUUGAAUUUGGGAUAAAUUCAGGAAACUGGGGCUAAUACCGGAUAGGAGCUCCUGCUGCAUGGGGGGGGUUGGAGAGUGUCGGCGGUGGGGGAUGGAUUCGCGGGUUAUGAGCUGGUUGGGGGGGUAGUGGCUUACAAGGGCUUUGAAGGGUAGCCGGCCUGAGAGGGUGGCCGGCCACAUUGGGACUGAGGUACGGCCCAGACGGCAACGGGAGGCAGUAGUGGGGAACCUUGCGCAACGGGCGGAAGUCAGAUGCGGCAACCCCGCGUGCGGAAUAACGGGUUUCGAGGUGUAAACAGAUUUCGCCGGUACCGAAGACAGCGUGACGGUAAUGAGUAAGAAAGCACCGGCUAACUACGUG
RNAcentral lists this ribosomal RNA (468 nucleotides) under uncultured bacterium. RNAcentral describes it as "partial 16S ribosomal RNA". It matches the Rfam family "Bacterial small subunit ribosomal RNA", at positions 28 to 507 of the family's 1533-position model. The record is from RNAcentral.